GAUGAACGCUAGCGGCAGGCCUAACACAUGCAAGUCGAGGGAGGAGCCUUCGGGCUUCGACCGGCGUACGGGUGCGUAACGCGUAUACAAUCUGCCUUUCACAUAGGGAUAGCCCGAAGAAAUUUGGAUUAAUACCUAAUGGUAUAUAGAUGUGGCAUCACCUUUAUAUUAAAGCUGAGGCGGUGAAAGAUGAGUAUGCGUUCUAUUAGCUAGUUGGAGAGGUAACGGCUCCCCAAGGCGACGAUAGAUAGGGGUUCUGAGAGGGAUAUCCCCCACACUGGUACUGAGAUACGGACCAGACUCCUACGGGAGGCAGCAGUGAGGAAUAUUGGACAAUGGUCGGAAGACUGAUCCAGCCAUGCCGCGUGCAGGAAGACGGCCUUAUGGGUUGUAAACUGCUUUUGCAGGGGAAGAAUAAGGACUACGCGUAGUUUGAUGACGGUACCCUGCGAAUAAGCAUCGGCUAACUCCGUG
This 474-nucleotide ribosomal RNA is filed under the name uncultured bacterium. RNAcentral's name for it is "partial 16S ribosomal RNA". It matches the Rfam family "Bacterial small subunit ribosomal RNA", at positions 28 to 507 of the family's 1533-position model. The record is from RNAcentral.